UUGGCACCUCGAUGUCGGCUCAUCUCAUCCUGGGGCUGUAGCCGGUCCCAAGGGUAUGGCUGUUCGCCAUUUAAAGAGGUACGUGAGCUGGGUUUAAAACGUCGUGAGACAGUUUGGUCCCUAUCUUCCGUGGGCGCUGCAAGAUUGAGAGAGCCUGCUCCUAGUACGAGAGGACCGGAGUGGACGCACCUCUGGUGUAUCGGUUGUCACGCCAGUGGCAUUGCCGAGUAGCUAAGUGCGGAAGAGAUAACCGCUGAAAGCAUCUAAGCGGGAAGCCUGCUCCAAGAUGAGGUUUCCAACACCCCCCCUUUUUUGUGGGGUGUGAAGGCCCCCAGCAGACUACUGGGUAGAUAGGCC
Molecule: ribosomal RNA, 357 nt
Filed under: Hemiselmis andersenii
Lineage: Eukaryota; Cryptophyceae; Cryptomonadales; Hemiselmidaceae
Description: partial Bacterial large subunit ribosomal RNA
Rfam family: Bacterial large subunit ribosomal RNA
Source: RNAcentral